AUACGGAGGGUGCAAGCGUUACUCGGAAUCACUGGGCGUAAAGCGCGCGCAGGCGGCUUGAUAAGUUGGAUGUGAAAGCCUACGGCUCAACCGUAGAACUGCAUCCAAAACUGUCAAGCUAGAGUCUGGGAGGGGACGAUGGAAUUAGUUGUGUAGGGGUAAAAUCCGUAGAGAUAACUAGGAAUACCAAAAGCGAAGGCGAUCUUCUGGAACAGUACUGACGCUGAGGCGCGAAAGCGUGGGGAGCAAACAGGAUUAGAAACCCUAGUAGUCC
Molecule: ribosomal RNA, 274 nt
Filed under: uncultured bacterium
Lineage: Bacteria
Description: partial 16S ribosomal RNA
Rfam family: Bacterial small subunit ribosomal RNA
Source: RNAcentral